ACUUCCUCUUUGUAUAUCCCUUGGCCGUCUUCUACGGCAGCCUGUGGCACAUCCCUACAAGUAAUCAGCACCAAUGGACUGAAGCAGAGAAGCUAGGGAGUCUUGGCUUCCUUGGUCUUUGACACGUCUAUCGUGGAGACGCUGCUCUGCCUGUCAGGUGUUUGAUGGAGUGGUGAAGGAAAGGCCGAGGGAGUGAGGGAGUAUCGUCAAAGGAAGCUGCGCAAGAGACAAGGAAAGGAGCGACGACCUUACUAGUGAUACAAAGCACAGGACGUCCGUCAUGGGGCAGGGCAGCAGUCAGUUCACCGAGGCCGAGUUGGAGGAGUACCAGGAGUUGACAUACUUCACCAAGAAGGAAAUUUUAUAUGCUCACAAACGCUUCAAGAAUUUGGCAUUAGAGAAAGUUGGCCACAACCGCAAUGCAAAGCUUCCUAUGGACAAGUUGCUCUCACUCCCUGAACUGCGAGCCAAUCCUUUUGGUGAACGCAUGUGUCUCAUCUUCUCUUCAACCAAGGAUGGAGACUGUACCUUUGAAGACUUCCUGGAUAUGAUGUCGGUGUUCAGUGAGGCUGCCCCAAAAUCAGUGAAGGCAGAAUAUGCUUUCAGGAUUUUUGUUUCUUUGCCAGACUUUGACGGUGAUGAUUAUUUGGGCCGAGGUGACCUAGAGGAGACCAUCACCAAGCUUGUUAGUCCACAGCGUUUCUCCUCAGAAGACAUGGAGCACAGGACAAGGAGUCACACUCUAGGAGGAAAGAUAAGGAAGGAAGGGGUGAUGUGCAGCCAUGCUCACCUAGCAGUUGGCUGGCAAAGCUUUAGUCAACCGAGUGUUGGAAGAGGCGGAUCUGGAUGAUGAUGGAAUGUUGGCUUUUGCAGAAUUUGAACAUGUCAUUUCAAAAUCUCCUGACUUUGCUAAUUCAUUUAGGAUACGUCUCUGAGAAAAUCAAACUUGAAGCAGCAGCAUCUUGGAUUGAACACUUAGUUUUGUGCGAGAGCUUCCAGCCAUUAUCUUAGCCACCACCAGCUCCCCAUCAGAUUGUGCAAGAAUCUCACUUGUGAAAAAGUCAGGCAACAGGAGUGGUGGAUGUACGUGUCUUUUACACAAGAAUCUCACUUUCAUGAACGUGUUUUAAGAAUCAUAGUAUAAUGACAUUUAUCAGGUCUGAGAUUAACUACUCUGCACUAUAUUUACCUCAUGCACAUGGAUGGGAUAGCAGUGAUUUUUGAGAUUUAAGAAAAUAUUUUGUGUGCAUGUGUGUAGUUUAUAUAUUAAAGAAUAAAUCAGGCCCAUGGAGGCUUGUCUAUUCUUGAUGUCCAACAAGAUUCAUUAAUAAUACAUGUUUUGACCUUCCUUUACCAUAAGAUGUGUCCUUUACCAUAAGAUGUGGCCUCUCUUCUGCUGUGGGUUGGUAAAGCCUAUAUGGACAUUCUACAAUAUAGUUGUUACAUCAAUGCUUUAUGUGAAGCAGUUGAUGCUGAUAUGGUAGUUAUGACCCUCCUUAGUCUCAUCUUUAGACUUCUAGGAAUAAAGAGAUGAAAUGCAGAGUGGGUGAGAUGCAUUGUAUUAAAAUCACUUUUCUGUUUGUAUUGGCUCUUUGGUAACCAUUCUUAAUUUAAUUGUGUGGCAUUUAAAAUUAGCCAGUUUAAAAAAGUGUACCACCUUAAUGGAAUUUUAUUAUUUGGAUUUGUAGUAAAUGGUGCAGGACUUAAUGAUAUCAUUAAGACAAAUAUAUGGUCAACAGCAUUUUAUAUUCUGUGUGAACAAAUAAUAUAGGUAAGUGACAGAAAACAAUACUUGAAAUGAGAACUCUCCUAAUUUGAUGAAUCAAGCCCCCAACAAGUAUUCCCAAGAGGACUGUGUGUGUGUGUGUGUGUGUGUGUGUGUGUGUGUGUGUGUGUGUGUGUGUGUGUGUGUGUGUGUGUGUGUGUGUGUGUGUGUGUAUAUACAGUUUCAUGGUUUGUGAGACUUGAAAAGCUGUAUUUAAUUUUCCUAUUGCCAACUGAAUUAAUAUGAAUUAAGAGUUGGGAAAACUAAAUUAAAAACUCACCUGAACAAAGUUUAUUUACUAGAUGAAUACCUUCCCCUUGUAGGGUGUAAACAGCCUUACCAUGAGAAGUGUGUAAGUAGAAGACAACUGUGAAGGAAACCAUAGAUAGUGUAAACAAAUAUUUCUUGGAAUGCUAAGAAAUAACAUGAAAAAUGCCAAAAUAUUAAAUCUAAAGUAUUUAUCACAAAGAAAUACAGAUCUACAUCUCCAUAUACUAUAUCUGGCUGACAAAUACCACACCCACACACUCCUACUUUAUAGUUAUUAUGUAUUGUUCAUAGUUGAGAGUUUCUUAGCUUAUUGUAGAUUACUGAAUUUUGUCUAAAAACCAAAGAAUUGAAUGUUUUAUAUAUAUGUUCUAAAUAAAACCAAAAGAUUUCAUAAUUGUCA
Molecule: RNA transcript, 2435 nt
Organism: Portunus trituberculatus (swimming crab)
Lineage: Eukaryota; Metazoa; Arthropoda; Malacostraca; Decapoda; Portunidae
Gene name: calcium and integrin-binding protein 1-like
Exons: 8
Source: RefSeq, a predicted model, not a curated record